UUCUUUGAGGACCACAAAAUAAAGACUUCAUGUUU
Molecule: non-coding RNA, 35 nt
Organism: Ovis aries (sheep)
Lineage: Eukaryota; Metazoa; Chordata; Mammalia; Artiodactyla; Bovidae
Source: Rfam